This 1529-nucleotide ribosomal RNA is filed under the name Lactiplantibacillus plantarum subsp. plantarum. Its description in RNAcentral is "Lactobacillus plantarum subsp. plantarum 16S ribosomal RNA". It matches the Rfam family "Bacterial small subunit ribosomal RNA". Lineage: Bacteria; Bacillati; Bacillota; Bacilli; Lactobacillales; Lactobacillaceae. The record is from RNAcentral.
AGAGUUUGAUCCUGGCUCAGGACGAACGCUGGCGGCGUGCCUAAUACAUGCAAGUCGAACGAACUCUGGUAUUGAUUGGUGCUUGCAUCAUGAUUUACAUUUGAGUGAGUGGCGAACUGGUGAGUAACACGUGGGAAACCUGCCCAGAAGCGGGGGAUAACACCUGGAAACAGAUGCUAAUACCGCAUAACAACUUGGACCGCAUGGUCCGAGUUUGAAAGAUGGCUUCGGCUAUCACUUUUGGAUGGUCCCGCGGCGUAUUAGCUAGAUGGUGGGGUAACGGCUCACCAUGGCAAUGAUAGCGUAGCCGACCUGAGAGGGUAAUCGGCCACAUUGGGACUGAGACACGGCCCAAACUCCUACGGGAGGCAGCAGUAGGGAAUCUUCCACAAUGGACGAAAGUCUGAUGGAGCAACGCCGCGUGAGUGAAGAAGGGUUUCGGCUCGUAAAACUCUGUUGUUAAAGAAGAACAUAUCUGAGAGUAACUGUUCAGGUAUUGACGGUAUUUAACCAGAAAGCCACGGCUAACUACGUGCCAGCAGCCGCGGUAAUACGUAGGUGGCAAGCGUUGUCCGGAUUUAUUGGGCGUAAAGCGAGCGCAGGCGGUUUUUUAAGUCUGAUGUGAAAGCCUUCGGCUCAACCGAAGAAGUGCAUCGGAAACUGGGAAACUUGAGUGCAGAAGAGGACAGUGGAACUCCAUGUGUAGCGGUGAAAUGCGUAGAUAUAUGGAAGAACACCAGUGGCGAAGGCGGCUGUCUGGUCUGUAACUGACGCUGAGGCUCGAAAGUAUGGGUAGCAAACAGGAUUAGAUACCCUGGUAGUCCAUACCGUAAACGAUGAAUGCUAAGUGUUGGAGGGUUUCCGCCCUUCAGUGCUGCAGCUAACGCAUUAAGCAUUCCGCCUGGGGAGUACGGCCGCAAGGCUGAAACUCAAAGGAAUUGACGGGGGCCCGCACAAGCGGUGGAGCAUGUGGUUUAAUUCGAAGCUACGCGAAGAACCUUACCAGGUCUUGACAUACUAUGCAAAUCUAAGAGAUUAGACGUUCCCUUCGGGGACAUGGAUACAGGUGGUGCAUGGUUGUCGUCAGCUCGUGUCGUGAGAUGUUGGGUUAAGUCCCGCAACGAGCGCAACCCUUAUUAUCAGUUGCCAGCAUUAAGUUGGGCACUCUGGUGAGACUGCCGGUGACAAACCGGAGGAAGGUGGGGAUGACGUCAAAUCAUCAUGCCCCUUAUGACCUGGGCUACACACGUGCUACAAUGGAUGGUACAACGAGUUGCGAACUCGCGAGAGUAAGCUAAUCUCUUAAAGCCAUUCUCAGUUCGGAUUGUAGGCUGCAACUCGCCUACAUGAAGUCGGAAUCGCUAGUAAUCGCGGAUCAGCAUGCCGCGGUGAAUACGUUCCCGGGCCUUGUACACACCGCCCGUCACACCAUGAGAGUUUGUAACACCCAAAGUCGGUGGGGUAACCUUUUAGGAACCAGCCGCCUAAGGUGGGACAGAUGAUUAGGGUGAAGUCGUAACAAGGUAACC